UAUAUUGUAUACCUAUGUAUGUAUAGCUGCAUUACGACUCCCCGUCUUACAGUUCUAUAAGUUCUUAAGUAUCACCUGGAAGAGAUAAGUUUAGUGAUAAGGUCGCCCUUUGUUGAAUUAAGUGUAUACUGUAUUCUUACUCUUUGUAAUUUUGUUGACAAUAAAGUUGUUUUAAAUUAAAUUAAAUUAAUUAAAAUGUUAGUGGUAAC
Molecule: long non-coding RNA, 209 nt
Organism: Maniola jurtina (meadow brown)
Lineage: Eukaryota; Metazoa; Arthropoda; Insecta; Lepidoptera; Nymphalidae
Exons: 3
Source: RefSeq, a predicted model, not a curated record